Aegilops tauschii subsp. strangulata is the source of this 347-nucleotide non-coding RNA. NCBI's taxonomy places the organism in Eukaryota, Viridiplantae, Streptophyta, Magnoliopsida, Poales, Poaceae. The record is from RefSeq and is a predicted model, not a curated record.
CAUGGAUCUGCUCAUGCUCUCAGCGGGAAUACUGGAUGUUCUCGAAGCUUUGCCAUACACACGUGCUACUUUUGGUACUUGUGUGGGCUCCAGUUUGUGUCAAUGCAAUUUGCAUCUAUCAGCGGAUUAUGGCGAUCAGGCUUGGUUAUUGGCCUACAGGAACCAGGUGCUAUAAUGCACCAAUGCUGCUUUCUGAUGAUGACGGCAAUGCCAAACGCACCAUUACCUGAGGAUCGCCUUCAAGAGCAUGCUGAAGAAUCACAACAAAAACUCCCCCAGUGAUAGUGCCACUCCAUGAGACAUCCGUAUCAAACUGAAAUUCAAUUUCCUCGCAUUAGCCAAAGCAU